GCCUGCAGCUAUACCACCCUGUGCUAUGAUCUUAUUAGAUCUCACAAAUCUAAAGAGGGCUGGGUUGAGUCAGACCUUGGAUGAAAACUUGCAAGAGAUACCUACAGCAGUGCAUAUU
Molecule: ribosomal RNA, 118 nt
Organism: Ictidomys tridecemlineatus (thirteen-lined ground squirrel)
Lineage: Eukaryota; Metazoa; Chordata; Mammalia; Rodentia; Sciuridae
Source: Ensembl